This is a long non-coding RNA of Ornithodoros turicata, 682 nucleotides long. RefSeq lists it as uncharacterized. The transcript has 3 exons. The record is from RefSeq and is a predicted model, not a curated record. Lineage: Eukaryota; Metazoa; Arthropoda; Arachnida; Ixodida; Argasidae.
CUGCGUCGCCGCCAAAGGAGAAAUCUGCGCAGAAGGCUUUUUGUUUCGCAACGCGCAGAAGAUAGAGUCACGUGAUGUCAUAGCCCGUUGUGCGGAUGAUUUCAAACGCCGCUGGAGAGGCUGGAGAAACAUGGCGGCGUCUGCAAUGACUUGGAGUGAUAUGCUAAUUUUCAACGCGAACAGCACCAGUACAGCUUGAAUUUUGUGAAGAGUUAGGUGCAUAUGCCUUGUAGGCAACGGAUUCUCCAUUGGAUGCCACUGUCUAUGACCGAAAUACAGGCAUAAACGGCUAUACCGCUCAGCAUCAGCCAUUCAUUGCUGUGUGUGUUUCAGCGUCUCCCAGAGAGUGUGGGAUGUUUUCUCUAUGAGCAGUCUUGGAAUUACUGACUGUCUUAUGCGUUACAGUGUGCCUCGGCGGCAGAACUUGGCCAGUGAAUUCCAGAGGCCGGAAGACACAGAAAGGAACAAUAUAGAGAGACUGGUAGUCAUUGAUAAGGCGUGAAGGAGCGUGAAGAUACACUUGCGUCGAUUCCAUACAAGAUGCCAACUAAUUAUACGGCAAGUAAUAUGGAUGUUUUUUUUUUUUCUUGUGUACAUAACUUUGCGAUGUUGUGAUCACGAUCUGUAUGAACGGGAAUGAUCUGGAUAUAGCACCUUGUCACGUUCUUUCAUUAUUUGUACU